Mesocricetus auratus (golden hamster) is the source of this 114-nucleotide non-coding RNA. NCBI's taxonomy places the organism in Eukaryota, Metazoa, Chordata, Mammalia, Rodentia, Cricetidae. The record is from Rfam.
UCACGGUCUCAUACCACCUUCAACGUGCCCAGUCUCAUCUGAUCUCAGAAGCUACGCAGGGUUGGGCAUGGUUAGUACAUGGAUGGGAGGCCUGUUUAAUUUGUAAGGCAUCAU